RNAcentral lists this long non-coding RNA (766 nucleotides) under Brassica napus (rape). Its description in RNAcentral is "long non-coding RNA (BNAP_LNC003793)". Lineage: Eukaryota; Viridiplantae; Streptophyta; Magnoliopsida; Brassicales; Brassicaceae. The record is from RNAcentral.
CAGCCGCCGGAGAUCUAAGAAACAGCUCGGAAAGUACUCAUCAACAAUACAUGACGUGUCAACAAACUACUGGCUCUCCUAUCGGCAAUGCAUACUCAACAGCAUAUAACCAUCAUCAUCAACCUUACUACGGUCACGUAAACCCUAAUAAUCCCGUCUCGCCACAAAGCUCGCUAGAAGAAACUUUCAGCAACACGAGCAGUAACGUCACUACUACAGCUAACGUGCGAGAGACUCAGCAAACUGCAGGUGGCGUAUAUGGUCACGGUGGGUUAGGGUUUCACGAAGGAUAUCCUAACAAAAAAAGAUCAGUGAGUUAUUGUAAUAGUGAUUUAGGGGAGCUUCAGGCUUUGGCUCUUAGAAUGAUGAAGAAUUAAGAUAAGUUGCUAACUUAUGUAGACAGACGUACGGCGAAGAAAUGAGAUGUUUUUCCUUUGACAAAGAUUCGGUUAUACAAAGGUGGCUUACUUGCAAGCACAAGUCAUGCAAAUGAAGGCACAGAUCGCCGGCCACCAGACGUCAGCCGCCGGAGAUCUAAGAAACAGCUCGGAAAGUACUCAUCAACAAUACAUGACGUGUCAACAAACUACUGGCUCUCCUAUCGGCAAUGCAUACUCAACAGCAUAUAACCAUCAUCAUCAACCUUACUACGGUCACGUAAACCCUAAUAAUCCCGUCUCGCCACAAAGCUCGCUAGAAGAAACUUUCAGCAACACGAGCAGUAACGUCACUACUACAGCUAACGUGCGAGAGACUCAGCAAACUG